GACGAACGCUGGCGGCAUGGAUUAGGCAUGCAAGUCGAACGGUAUCAUCCUUUCGGGGGUGAGAGAGUGGCGAACUGGUGAGUAACACGUAGGUUAUCUACCCUCAAGACGGGGACAACCCAGGGAAACUUGGGCUAAUACCGGAUGUGAGCAACUUUUAGUUGUUUGAAAGGUGGCGUAAGCUGUCGCUUGGGGAUGAGCCUGCGUCCUAUUAGUUAGUUGGUGAGGUAACGGCUCACCUAGGCAAUGAUAGGUAGGCGGCCUUAACGGGUGGUCGCCCACACUGGGAUUGAGAUACGGCCCAGACUCCUACGGGAGGCAGCAGUCGAGAAUAGUCUACAAUGGUCGGAAGACUGAUAGUGCGACGCCGCGUGAACGAUGAAUCCCUUCGGGGUGUAAAGUUCUUUUAUAUGUGAGCAGUGCUUCUUAUAUUAACAGUAUGGGGAGAGAGAUAUUAGCAUAUGAAUAAGCAACGGCUAACUCCGUGCCAGCAGCCGCGGU
RNAcentral lists this ribosomal RNA (501 nucleotides) under uncultured bacterium. RNAcentral describes it as "bacterial SSU rRNA". It matches the Rfam family "Bacterial small subunit ribosomal RNA", at positions 28 to 521 of the family's 1533-position model. The record is from RNAcentral.